CCUUUGUGACCAUAAAUACAAAAAUGAGUAGACAGGACAAAACAAUAGUGACCUGCUGGUUCUGUGAAACAGUAAAAAUGAGUGAAUGUUGCCCUGAAACAGAGCAGCCUCCUCAUCCGUUUUCAUGCACUGUAACUUUUAAAGUCAGCUUCUAAAACAUUGUUAGUUUGCUCAUAAGAACUUUUACUGUUUUCCCUUGGACCACAAUGAUGGACAGGUCAGAGUCCCCCAGCUGUGUGUCUGUAGUGAGCAACUGGUCAGAGGAUCGACCUAUUGACUUUAAAGGACCUGAUAUCCAGGAUAUUAAAAGGUCAGAGUCCCCCAGCUGUAUGUCUGCAGUGAGCAACUGGUCAGAGGAUCGACCUAUUGACUUUAAAGGAACUGAUAUCCAGGAUGUUAAAAGGUAAACAAUCUGCAGUGUGAACUGCUUUACGUUGUAGCAGCUUUGCUCAUUUCAAUUGAGAACUAAGCACAGACUCUUAAAACAGGUGUGUUUAUAUACGCAUUAGCUGGCCGUGCACUGGCUAUGUGGGACAUUUGGUAAAAUUUGGUUAUUUUGAUUAUUUUGGUUAUUAAUUUUACCAGAAUACCAGUAACUAAGGUUUAGAGUCACUCAAAGCCAAAGGAGUUUAGUCCAACGUCUAAGUUCAGUUAAAAGUCCCAAAUGUGUUUUAAACUCAGUUUGAACCAGCUCAGUAGAUGAUCCCGUUAUGGUGGACCUCCAUCAGCUCCAUGAUUAUCCAUGAUAAUAAUGACCUUGUUGACACAACACAAUAUUCUUGGUCAGGCACCAGUGCUUGAUGAUAGUAUCCUCACCUGGAACAUUAACAGCCUGAUAAAGCUCCUUUUGCAGCACGAUGGAGGAUGAGUUGAACUGUAAAGAGAAGGUGAAGUAGAACGUGGUCCAGUGUCCAAACCAAAAUAAUCUUAACUCUGUUGUUCCACCACUAAAUUUGAACAUCUACAGCUGAUAAAUGAGUGUUUUGGUGGAGGUUUAAUGGGUUUUAAGUCAUUUUUCUGUCAUUUAUGAGUCAAAAUCAGCUAACUGUAUAUUUUUGCUUCAACAUCCAAGAUGCAACACUGUAGACACACAUACAAUUGUCAAUAUAUAGUGCAUAGAUUUUUGUAUAUAGCAAUUGAUGCUCUUUAUAGUCAUAUUUACAGCUUGCUGAGUGCUGAGUGGGAGCUGGAAUUAUGGAAUAUAAUAGGAUAUUAACUAUAAAAAAUUCAGAGUAGGGCUAUGAAUAUUUCACCAUGUUUUAAUGCUUUGAAAGGUUCUGCUUACAGAAAUGAUGUGAGGUAUGCAUGUCAUUUUUAUCCAGCCCAAAUUUCUAAAAGCUUAACAACAAUUCUGGGCAUAAUCAACGUCUCAGGCGGUCGACUAUAUUAAAUUAUUAUUAAAUUAUAUUAAAUUAAAUUAAAUAAUUUUUCACAUUAAAAAUACAGAAAACAUUUUAAUGUUUCUCAUAAGAAGUCUUAAUCUUCUCUCCUGGACCACAAUGAUGGACAGGUCAGAGUCCCCCAGCUGUGUGUCUGUAGUGAGCAACUGGUCAGAGGAUCGACCUAUUGACUUUAAAGGACCUGAUAUCCAGGAUAUUAAAAGGUAAACAAUCUGCUGUGUGAACUGCUUUGCACUAAAGCAGCUUUAAUUAUUUACAUUUGUUGGGAAAUAAAACCACAAAGUUUUCACUGCUUAAAGGUGGAGUCAGUGAUUCUGGAGAACUAUUGCUGAUAUUUGAACACAACAGCAAAAGAAACACACUCCUCCCUUCAGCGCUCCUUUAGAGGCCCCACCCCCCGAACGGCGCUGGGCAGACAAACUUUUCUUUUCAGACCUUUGUGACCAUAAAUACAAAAAUGAGUAGACAGGACAAAACAAUAGUGACCUGCUGGUUCUGUGAAACAGUAAAAAUGAGUGAAUGUUGCCCUGAAACAGAGCAGCCUCCUCAUCCGUUUUCAUGCACUGUAACUUUUAAAGUCAGCUUCUUCUUUACCGGCUUCUUGAUUACAUUUUCCUGUUCCCCCUUAAAUGGUGUAGCAGUUACAUUCUGG
This is a long non-coding RNA of Pygocentrus nattereri (red-bellied piranha), 2052 nucleotides long. The record is from Ensembl. Lineage: Eukaryota; Metazoa; Chordata; Actinopteri; Characiformes; Serrasalmidae.